This 301-nucleotide ribosomal RNA is filed under the name uncultured bacterium. RNAcentral describes it as "partial 16S ribosomal RNA". It matches the Rfam family "Bacterial small subunit ribosomal RNA", at positions 509 to 807 of the family's 1533-position model. The record is from RNAcentral.
CAGUCGCCGCGGUAAUACAGAGGGUGCGAGCGUUAAUCGGAUUUACUGGGCGUAAAGCGUGCGUAGGCGGCUUUUUAAGUCGGAUGUGAAAUCCCUGAGCUUAACUUAGGAAUUGCAUUCGAUACUGGGAAGCUAGAGUAUGGGAGAGGAUGGUAGAAUUCCAGGUGUAGCGGUGAAAUGCGUAGAGAUCUGGAGGAAUACCGAUGGCGAAGGCAGCCAUCUGGCCUAAUACUGACGCUGAGGUACGAAAGCAUGGGGAGCAAACAGGAUUAGAUACCCCCGUAGUCCCUGUCUCUUAUAC